RNAcentral lists this long non-coding RNA (726 nucleotides) under Rattus norvegicus (Norway rat). Its description in RNAcentral is "long non-coding RNA NONRATT015831". Lineage: Eukaryota; Metazoa; Chordata; Mammalia; Rodentia; Muridae. The record is from RNAcentral.
CGGAAAGUCUGUUACAGAGCUGGGGACUCCCCGGGGAACUGGAUGUUGAAGAAUGGAGAAGGAAGUGGAAAACAAUCACCAAAUGCAUGCCUGGUGUCUGCGUCAAAUGGGAGCCCCAGGUGCCCUGGAACUGGCGUUGGACUAUUGUGAAAGGCCGUGUUGGGGUUGGUAACUGAAUUCUUACUCUGGAAGAACAGCAAGAGCAUUAGCUGAGUCAUCUCUCCACUUUAAACACUGUAAAUUCUAGGAAGCCUCCCUUCCUUUCGUAGUGCCUCAUGGCUUCCUUCACUCGACAGAUUCCGUCUCAGUAGAAAGAUCUGAACCUUUUGCUAAAUGUGGCUUAUUUUGACCUUUUGAAUAUUCAUCCGCAGAAUGUACAAAAAUAAAACUACUGCUGACCUGUGUCCUGGCUAGUCUUAACUGUACACUUGGCACGGUCCAGAAUCAUCUCAGAGAAGCCUCAACUGGGACAUCACACAGAUCAGCUGGCCUGUGGCCACGCCUGCGGAGGGAUUGUCUUGAUAAACUGAUGCAGGAGGGCCCAGUUUCUUGCGGAGACAGCAUUCGGUGGGCAGGUAGUCCUGGGCUGGGCAAGAUCACCAUGCCAGCAUGCCAACACUCCUCCCUUCUCAUGCUUCAGGCUUCUGUCUGAGUUCCAGCCUUGCCUGCCUUCAGGGACGGGCUGUGACCUAAGUGAACACGCAUCCUCUCCUACCCCAAGCUGCU